GAUGAAGAACGCAGCGAAAUGCGAUACUUGGUGUGAAUUGCAGAAUCCCGUGAACCAUCGAGUCUUUGAACGCAAGUUGCGCCUCAAGCCAUUAGGUUGAGGGCACGUCUGCCUGGGCGUCACAUAUCGUUGCCUGAUGCCAGUUUCCUCGUGAUGGGUGACUGUGCAGGGCGAAUGAUGGCUUCCCGUGAGCAUUGUUGCCUCAUGGUUGGUUGAAAAUUGAGUCCUUGGUAGGGAGCGCCGUGAUAGAUGGUGGUUGAGUGACGAACGAGACCCAAUCAUGUGAGACCCCUACCGAAUUUGGCCUUCAUGACCACAUGCGUCUUUGGAACGCUCAUGACGAGACCUCAGGUCAGGCGGGGCUACCCGCUGAGUUUAAGCAUAUCAAUAAGCGGAGGA
Molecule: unclassified non-coding RNA, 399 nt
Filed under: soil metagenome
Description: partial contains 5.8S ribosomal RNA, internal transcribed spacer 2, and large subunit ribosomal RNA
Rfam family: 5.8S ribosomal RNA (bases 1-122)
Source: RNAcentral